Misgurnus anguillicaudatus (oriental weatherfish) is the source of this 1179-nucleotide non-coding RNA. The record is from RefSeq and is a predicted model, not a curated record. NCBI's taxonomy places the organism in Eukaryota, Metazoa, Chordata, Actinopteri, Cypriniformes, Cobitidae.
UAUAUCCACGACAGCGUCAGUGUAAAACAAGGGUGUUACCAGAUUUCACACUGAGCGGUGUAAAUCAAGCCACGCCUCCACUAAACAUUUCCUGUCAGGGAUUUUACCGCCAUUUUCUUUCAAAGGAGGACUGAAGAGAGCAGAUGCUAGUUUGGUGAAAGUACACACUGAGUGCUUCAAAUCAUUCAGAAGAGAUGCUGUUUUUAUGGCAGUUUAUUAAAGAAGACCUGACAUGGAUGACUUCCAAUGAGAAACGACUGCUGAUACUUAUAUAAAUUCAUUACAGAAGGACCCUACCAGACUAUAUUUGAAUACGGCAUACCUGUGAAUUCUGGAACUGUUAUUCCUUAACCCAGUUUGGAGGAUAAGAGCUUACCAACUAUAAAUAUGCUGAGGUGAUGUAUUGCAAAAUAGCCAACAUACAACAAUUAAAGGAUAAUUGCAGCCUAUAUCCUGAUGAAGAUAUGGAUGACCCUCUGUCUGGUCAACAGGAGUUUAAAUAUGGACGGGACAGUUAUGUGGCAGCUCUUCCCUGACUCAUUCACCUCUUGCCUUUAUUUGUGAAAGGAGGAAAGACUGGAGAGGGUCAAUGUGCAACUGAAGCUACUGAUUGUGCUGUGUGAUGAGCAUCAAUCCAUGCUUUGAGGGGGAUGAAUCAGCACAGCCCUGCCUGCUCUGCGUUGGGAACAAAAGUUGCAUCCAGAAUUUUUGCAUCAUUCUGGACCAAAAAGCCAUUCCCUCCAUGAUGAAGACCACUGAUGCAGCCUCCCACUACUGUACAGUAAAACAACUACAGAACUAAAUACCAGGUUGGAACGUGUUUAAGAAAAAUGAAACGUCUUUUGAAUUGAAAUGUCUGUUUUGUUAUGGAAAAAUCUUUAGUAUUGUGAAGGAUAAGCAUUUCUGCUUGCCGAUAAGGUAAUUGCAUGUAUUUUAAUGUUCAAGUUUUGAGUAGGGUGGCUAAUUUUUUUAACUCUUAUUUGAUUUAUUAAAGACCUUAUAAUAAGUGGUUUUCAUGUCACUGCGCUGUGGUAUAAGAUAACUUUCAUUAUUCCAUACUGUAUUCUGUUUCUAAUUGUAGCUGAGGUAUUUAAAUAAGCAGUGUUAAAUGCAAAGUGUUGUGUGUAUCAAUGUAAAUAUUAAAUGUGAUUUACUUUAAUAAAAAGAGGUUUUGCAAUA